Long non-coding RNA from Salvelinus fontinalis (brook trout), 4321 nucleotides. RefSeq lists it as uncharacterized. The record is from RefSeq and is a predicted model, not a curated record. The transcript is spliced from 5 exons. NCBI's taxonomy places the organism in Eukaryota, Metazoa, Chordata, Actinopteri, Salmoniformes, Salmonidae.
CAAUAGCCCAGGUAAGCCAGCCCUUCCUAUGUCAGAAAAUAGCCAAGGCCUAUUGACCUUAUUCCUAUGUGUUUCUGGAUCAAUCAAUACAAUUUCUGAAUCCUUAAAAUGUACAUGUUGGUGUCUUGAAGUUUCCUAUGACCUAUAGGCCGAGGGAAAUGCAUUCAUUUUGCAAUGUAUUAGCCUAUUUCUUAGGUCUAUAGAAUAUUUACUACACAAGUGAAAUAUCACCAUCAGUCAUGUCGAUUGUAUAGGAUUCCAGCGCCUUGACAGAUGCACACACACCACUGUGGUGACACGUCCCCUAUAUGACUAUCUCUGUCCCCACGUUGUGAUUCCCCUCCCCCACUCCACUUUACCGCGCAGAGCCAGAGAGGGAAAAUCACUUUCAUCUGGAGAAGCUCGUCCGUUAACACCGGGCGGCCCAUCUGCAGGUCCCCGCUGUUCCUAAAAGAAAGAUUAAGGAUUUGAGUUGGCCUGACGGAGAGAUCUUCCAGGCGACUCCGGCCCAUGGAGGAUGCAGAGCAUCACAUCAGAUCAAACAUUGAUAAACCAGUACUUUACCAGCGUUUUAUCAAUAUCUUUAAAGGACGGGGAGUUUUUGCCACUGAAUUCAUAUCCAAAGGAGACUUUGUUGUGGAGUACCGAGGUGAACUGCUUACACAACAGGAGGGCGAGGUCCUAGCUGAUCAGUACAAUGAUUCUGCAAAGGUGUUUCUUUUCGAUGUUCAAUGGAAAGGAAGAACAUGGUGCAUUGAUGCAUCUGAAGAAGACUCCUCCCUUGGGAGACUCGUUAAUGAUGAUCACUAAAGACUCAAUCUCAAAAUGAAGGCCAUACAAGCAAACGAUGAGCCACACUUGUGCCUCUUCGCGACUCGAGAUAUUGCAGCUGGCGAAGAGUUGACUUAUAGUUACGGUGAUUCAGACUGGCCAUGGAGAACACAGGUCAUCAAAACUGAAUUGUCGUCCAGCCCAAAACCAGGUAAGAACUUUACUAAAGAUCAAUAUGAGUUUCUAUCUUCACAUUUAAUAUUUCACUUUCACAAAUACACAUUUAUAGUCUAACAUCAAUUGCACUGGAAUGCAGUGCACUUGUUGCAUACAUCAAAAGUUAACUAAAUAUACAAUACAUUGAAAUAUAUGAAAUAAAAACAUUAGCAAUAAGAACUCAGUAGUUAGGCUCUUGUGGGCUCAUUUAGUAGCCCAACUCAUGAGGGAUUUGCUCUUCUCCUGAAAAGUUCAGUCCUGCAUCUGACCAGAAUAGGAUGUUCAAAACUAAACGCUACACCAGGCAUUUCCUGUGUGCUUUCUUAUACAGUAGGUCCCCAGAUGUAUACAAUGCAUUAGAUCACGCUUUUUGAUUUGAGGGGAUUUUUCAGUGUUUUAAAAAUGUUGAUUAUGUUUCAGCAUCCAGGGGUUUGUCAGUUUCUACAAAAACAGUCUCUUAGUGCAUAGAUGUCUGUGACUAUUUUGCCUGUUGGUCACAGACUGGGAGCAGAACAGGGGUGUGUCAGUUUCUACAAAAACAGUCUCUUAGUGCAGAGAUGUCUGUGACUAUUUUGCCUGUUGGUCCCAGGCUGGGAGCAGAACAGGGGCUGUGGCAGAGCAGAGCACUUAGGGGUGAAGUCCCUUGCUCAAAGGCAAAACAGCAGUAGGUAGUACACAGGGAUAUUGAAGCCGGUAACCCACCGGGCUUCAAUAUCACCGUAUACUACCUACUGCCGUUGUGCCCAUCAGCAAGGCACUUUACAACACACACAUCACAGGCUGAUAGCAGGACAGGGUCUCCAAAAAAUGAUUGUUCUACGUAAUAAUUGACUAGCACAAUACAAUAACUCCUAAUGUUUGUAUUUUUGUGUCUGCUAAGGACGACAAGUUGAUUUACGGGGGGAGGUCGGGUAAUGUAAUUAUGUGCCCGAGCACAAAACACCAUAUAUGUAAUUUUUGUCCUGUCUAAAUCUGCCAUGUCAGUCAUUUUUAAUUCCAACCAGAAUAGCCUCAUGUUUUUUGGUCUCCUGAAAGUACUAGUCCCGUGAGAAUCAACAUCACGUUUUAUUUGUCACAUGCGCCGAAUAAAACAGGUGCUGACUUACAAGCCCUUAACCAACAAUGCAGUUCAAGAAAUAGAGUUAAGAAAAUAUAUGCUAAAUAAAAUAAGUCAGAUUUUGCAGACACGUCUCCCCCCGCAUCAGUAUAGAAAGGGUCCCUAGCAAACUGCAUCAGUAUAGAAAGGGUCCCUAACAAACUGCAUCAGUAUAGAAAGGGUCCCCAGCAAACUGCAUCAGUAUAGAAAGGGUCCCUAACAAACUGCAUCAGUAUAGAAAGGGUCCCUAGCAAACUGCAUCAGUAUAGAAAGGGUCCCUAACAAACUGCAUCAGUAUAGAAAGGGUCCCUAACAAACUGCAUCAGUAUAGAAAGGGUCCCUAACAAACUGCAUCAGUAUAGAAAGGGUCCCUAACAAACUGCAUCAGUAUAGAAAGGGUCCCUAACAAACUGCAUCAGUAUAGAAAGGGUCCCUAGAAAACUGCAUCAGUAUAGAAAGGGUCCCUAGCAAACUGCAUCAGUAUAGAAAGGGUCUCUAACAAACUGCAUCAGUAUAGAAAGGGUCCCUAACAAACUGCAUCAGUAUAGAAAGGGUCCCUAACAAACUGCAUCAGUAUAGAAAGGGUCCCUAACAAACUGCAUCAGUAUAGAAAGGGUCCCUAACAAACUGCAUCAGUAUAGAAAGGGUCCCUAACAAACUGCAUCAGUAUAGAAAGGGUCUCUAGCAAACUGCAUCAGUAUAGAAAGGGUCCCUAGCAAACUGCAUCAGUAUAGAAAGGGUCCCUAACAAACUGCAUCAGUAUAGAAAGGGUCCCUAGCAAACUGCAUCAGUAUAGAAAGGGUCCCUAACAAACUGCAUCAGUAUAGAAAGGGUCUCUAGCAAACUGCAUCAGUAUAGAAAGGGUCCCUAACAAACUGCAUCAGUAUAGAAAGGGUCCCUAACAAACUGCAUCAGUAUAGAAAGGGUCUCUAGCAAACUGCAUCAGUAUAGAAAGGGUCCCUAACAAACUGCAUCAGUAUAGAAAGGGUCCCUAACAAACUGCAUCAGUAUAGAAAGGGUCUCUAACAAACUGCAUCAGUAUAGAAAGGGUCCCUAACAAACUGCAUCAGUAUAGAAAGGGUCCCUAACAAACUGCAUCAGUAUAGAAAGGGUCCCUAGCAAACUGCAUCAGUAUAGAAAGGGUCCCUAACAAACUGCAUCAGUAUAGAAAGGGUCCCUAACAAACUGCAUCAGUAUAGAAAGGGUCCCUAACAAACUGCAUCAGUAUAGAAAGGGUCCCUAGCAAACUGCAUCAGUAUAGAAAGGGUCCCUAACAAACUGCAUCAGUAUAGAAAGGGUCCCUAACAAACUGCAUCAGUAUAGAAAGGGUCCCUAGCAAACUGCAUCAGUAUAGAAAGGGUCCCUAACAAACUGCAUCAGUAUAGAAAGGGUCCCUAGCAAACUGCAUCAGUAUAGAAAGGGUCCCUAACAAACUGCAUCAGUAUAGAAAGGGUCCCUAACAAACUGCAUCAGUAUAGAAAGGGUCUCUAGCAAACUGCAUCAGUAUAGAAAGGGUCCCUAGCAAACUGCAUCAGUAUAGAAAGGGUCCCUAACAAACUGCAUCAGUAUAGAAAGGGUCCCUAACAAACUGCAUCAGUAUAGAAAGGGUCCCUAACAAACUGCAUCACCUUUGUGGGGAGACUAAAAUCAUCAAAUCUUGUUGCAAAGUUACAAUGUGUAUAUCAUUGACCGCUAGCCAGAAAUAGCCAUUUUUUUCUUCCUUCCUCGUUAUGCAGACAUCAGCACACCUGGCACCAUCGAGGUGCAGCUGUUUACUUUCUACACGGGUUGUUAUUUUUCAGUUUCGUCCUAAGAACAGAUUGUAGUGGUAAAAUAAAAAGGGAUACAUUUUUUUGGUGCCAUUUAGGUGAAAUUGAUCUCCAAGCUUCACUCCAGUCAAAACGGGCUUUGCGAGUGUUUGAUUCCAUUCAUUUGCUAUGGGCUGGCGCUAGUGCUCCAGCUUAUUUGUAUUUAAAACAACUUUUUAAACUUUUAUUUAACUCGUCAAGUCAGUUAAGAACAAAUUCUUAUUUUCAAUGACAGCCUAGGAACAGUGGGAUAAUUGCCUUGUUCAGGGGCAGAAUGACAGAUUUUUACCUUGUCAGCUCGGGGAUUCAAUCUUGCAACCUUUCGGUUACUAGUCCAACGCUCUAACCACUAGGCUACCUGCCUCCCCAGCUUAGCCAACGUUUGCUUGCCAUUUUUCUUCCUUGACCUUUUCCAUUGUCCAGCCUAGCC